AGAGUUUGAUCCUGGCUCAGAUUGAACGCUGGCGGCAGGCCUAACACAUGCAAGUCGAACGGUAACAGGAAGAAGCUUGCUUCUUUGCUGACGAGUGGCGGACGGGUGAGUAAUGUCUGGGAAACUGCCUGAUGGAGGGGGAUAACUACUGGAAACGGUAGCUAAUACCGCAUAACGUCGCAAGACCAAAGAGGGGGACCUUCGGGCCUCUUGCCAUCGGAUGUGCCCAGAUGGGAUUAGCUUGUUGGUGGGGUAACGGCUCACCAAGGCGACGAUCCCUAGCUGGUCUGAGAGGAUGACCAGCCACACUGGAACUGAGACACGGUCCAGACUCCUACGGGAGGCAGCAGUGGGGAAUAUUGCACAAUGGGCGCAAGCCUGAUGCAGCCAUGCCGCGUGUAUGAAGAAGGCCUUCGGGUUGUAAAGUACUUUCAGCGGGGAGGAAGGGAGUAAAGUUAAUACCUUUGCUCAUUGACGUUACCCGCAGAAGAAGCACCGGCUAACUCCGUGCCAGCAGCCGCGGUAAUACGGAGGGUGCAAGCGUUAAUCGGAAUUACUGGGCGUAAAGCGCACGCAGGCGGUUUGUUAAGUCAGAUGUGAAAUCCCCGGGCUCAACCUGGGAACUGCAUCUGAUACUGGCAAGCUUGAGUCUCGUAGAGGGGGGUAGAAUUCCAGGUGUAGCGGUGAAAUGCGUAGAGAUCUGGAGGAAUACCGGUGGCGAAAGCGGCCCCCUGGACGAAGACUGACGCUCAGUGCGAAAGCGUGGGAGCAAACAGGAUUAGAUACCCUGGUAGUCCACGCCGUAAACGAUGUCGAACUUGGAGGUUGUGCCCUUUGAGCGUGUCUUUCGGAGCUAACGCGUUAAGUCGACCGCCUGGGGAGUACGGCCGCAAGGUUAAAACUCAAAUGAAUUGACGGGGGCCCGCACAAGCGGUGGAGCAUGUGGUUUAAUUCGAUGCAACGCGAAGAACCUUACCUGGUCUUGACAUCCACGGAAGUUUUCAGAGAUGAGAAUGUGCCUUCGGGAACCGUGAGACAGGUGCUGCAUGGCUGUCGUCAGCUCGUGUUGUGAAAUGUUGGGUUAAGUCCCGCAACGAGCGCAACCCUUAUCCUUUGUUGCCAGCGGUCCGGCCGGGAACUCAAAGGAGACUGCCAGUGAUAAACUGGAGGAAGGUGGGGAUGACGUCAAGUCAUCAUGGCCCUUACGACCAGGGCUACACACGUGCUACAAUGGCGCAUACAAAGAGAAGCGACCUCGCGAGAGCAAGCGGACCUCAUAAAGUGCGUCGUAGUCCGGAUUGGAGUCUGCAACUCGACUCCAUGAAGUCGGAAUCGCUAGUAAUCGUGGAUCAGAAUGCCACGGUGAAUACGUUCCCGGGCCUUGCACACACCGCCCGUC
This 1399-nucleotide ribosomal RNA is filed under the name uncultured bacterium. RNAcentral's name for it is "bacterial SSU rRNA". It matches the Rfam family "Bacterial small subunit ribosomal RNA". The record is from RNAcentral.